GUUUAGUAUCUAAUUUUGUUUGCGGAGAAAGUAGCGGUUUUUUGUUGUUUGAAACGAACGUAUUAAUGUGUGUAAAUGUAUUUUGAUAGCAAAGUCAAUACAAUACAAUACAAUACAAUUUUAUUCAGUACCGGUAGUAAUACAUACAUAAAUAUAAAAUAAAGAUAAAGUUACGAAAAGAAGGUACUAGCUAACUGUAAUAACCAAAAGGCUAAUGGAGACAGUCAGCGAAUUUGAUUAGUAACAAAAUAUAUUUUAGUGGGUAAACUGAAUAAAUAAAACACAUGCAAUAAAGAUUUCAAAAUGGACAAUUUUGAUGCUAUAAGCUAAUAUGAAUUCAAUAUAUUAUUUUUAAGUUUGUGUUUAAACUGUGAUUUAGAAAGACCCUUAAGAUUUUCGUCAAUUGAAUUCCACACAUUACUGCCAACAAAACGUAUAUUAAAUUUUCCAUAGUUGGUUCUUACUUUUGGAAGGGAGUAUGACGAUCUCGAAGCAAGUCUGGUGUUAUAAUUAUGUUUCUGGCUUACUAAUGCAAAAUACUCAUCAAAUACGUGAGGAAGUCGACCUGUAUGAAAGUCAUACAUAAAUAGUGCAUUAUGAUAAAAAAUAAGGUCAUGAAACUUGAGAAAACGAAGUUGAAUGAAGAGAGGGUUAGUAUGAUCCUGAUAGUUAGAAAAUGUUAUUAAACGAAUAAUCUUUUUUUGUAGGAUAGCUAAUGGAUUCACUGUUGUAUUGUACGUGUUACCCCAAGCAACUAGAGCGUAUGUAAGAAAUGGAUAGAUAAGUGAAUAAUAUAAAUUAAUAAGAAUAUCCAAGGUCACAAAAUUACGUAUUUUUGAGAUAGCUCCAAUAUUGCGCUUUAUCUUUUUGGAGAUUUCUAAAACCUGAGCUUUAAAGUUUAGGUUAGCAUCUAUCACUACACCCAAAUAUUUGAAAUUAGAUGUUUGCUUCAAUAAUUUAUUGUUAAUCGUUAAUUGGAUACUAGAAGAAAUUUUUUUCUGAGGAGGGUGAAAUAUAACAAAGUUUGUCUUAUCGAUGUUAAGCGACAAUUUGUUAACACAGAGCCAUUUAUUUAUAUGCUCAAGUUGACUAUUUAUAGUAGAUUCAAGAAUUGGUAGGCUUUUAUUAUCAAAGAAUAAGCUUGAAUCGUCAGCAAAAAGAAAAAAGUCAAGAAUUCUGGAGGAAUUACAAAAAUCAUUUAUAUAGAUUAGAAAUAGAAGUGGGCCAAGGACAGAACCUUGAGGUACACCACAUGUAAUAGGCAUUAAAGAUGAUCUAACAUUGCCAAUUGUCACAAACUGUUGCCGAUUCUCUAGAUACGAUUGGAACCAUUUAAGUGCCACGCCUCGUAUACCAUACCAUUCAAGUUUUUGCAAUAAAAUAUGAUGGUUAACUGUAUCAAAUGCUUUCGACAAAUCAAGGAAUACAGCACACGAAUAUUUACCAUCAUCGAUAGCUUUCUGUAUCUUAUCAACUAUUGAUAAAAUUGCAUGUAAUGUAGAAUGAUUUGAACGAAAGCCAAACUGUUUAGUAUAUAUUAUAUCAUAUUUUUCAACAAAGUUUGACAGACGUUUAGACACAAUUUUUUCAAGAAUCUGGUUAAAAAUAGAUAAUAAAGAUAUAGGGCGAUAAUUGUCUAAAAUUAAUUGUGAGCCUUUUUUAUGUACAGGAAUGACACUAGCCAGUUUGAAUUGGCUAGGUACAGUACCAGUUGAAAGACAACAAUUAAAAAUAGAUUCCAAAGGCUUUGAAAUAAAUCUCCUUAGCAAUUUCAGAAUUUUAACUGGUAUGCUAUACGGGCCCGUAGCUUUUGAGGAAUUAAACUGGACAAUUAUUUCUUCAAUUUCGUUAGAGGAAGUUGGAUUCAAGAACAGACUAUUUACUUGGCGAGAAGUCAUAAAUGACACUGGACUUGUAUCAAUACAGGGGACAUCUCUAGUUAAUGCACUUCCAAUAUUAGCAAAAAAAUCAUUAAACCUGUCAGCAAUUGAUUUACUAUCAGUUAUUUCAUCACCAUUAAUAAGUAUCUUUGAGGGUAAACNNNNNNNNNNNNNNNNNNNNGUCACAAACUGUUGCCGAUUCUCUAGAUACGAUUGGAACCAUUUAAGUGCCACGCCUCGUAUACCAUACCAUUCAAGUUUUUGCAAUAAAAUAUGAUGGUUAACUGUAUCAAAUGCUUUCGACAAAUCAAGGAAUACAGCACACGAAUAUUUAUAUUGUGAGCCUUUUUUAUGUACAGGAAUGACACUAGCCAGUUUGAAUUGGCUAGGUACAGUACCAGUUGAAAGACAACAAUUAAAAAUAGAUUCCAAAGGCUUUGAAAUAAAU
Molecule: long non-coding RNA, 2328 nt
Filed under: Paramuricea clavata
Lineage: Eukaryota; Metazoa; Cnidaria; Anthozoa; Malacalcyonacea; Plexauridae
Source: RNAcentral